Molecule: ribosomal RNA, 490 nt
Filed under: uncultured bacterium
Lineage: Bacteria
Description: partial 16S ribosomal RNA
Rfam family: Bacterial small subunit ribosomal RNA
Source: RNAcentral
AGUGAACGCUGGCGGUAGGCCUAACACAUGCAAGUCGAACGGCAGCACAGUAAGAGCUUGCUCUUACGGGUGGCGAGUGGCGGACGGGUGAGGAAUACAUCGGAAUCUACUUUUUCGUGGGGGAUAACGUAGGGAAACUUACGCUAAUACCGCAUACGACCUACGGGUGAAAGCAGGGGAUCUUCGGACCUUGCGCGAUUGAAUGAGCCGAUGUCGGAUUAGCUAGUUGGCGGGGUAAAGGCCCACCAAGGCGACGAUCCGUAGCUGGUCUGAGAGGAUGAACAGCCCACAGGGAACUGGAGAACGGGCCAGACUCCGACGGGGGGCAGCAGGGGGGAAAAGUGGACAAGGGGGGGAAGCCUGAACCAGCCAAACCGGGGGGGUGAAGAAGGCCUUCGGGUUGUAAAGCCCUUUUGUUGGGAAAAAAAAGCAGCCGGUUAAAACCCCGCUGUUCUGACGGUACCCAAAAAAUAAGCACCGGCGAACUUCG